Molecule: long non-coding RNA, 555 nt
Organism: Lactuca sativa (garden lettuce)
Lineage: Eukaryota; Viridiplantae; Streptophyta; Magnoliopsida; Asterales; Asteraceae
Source: RefSeq, a predicted model, not a curated record
UUCACCCUACUUAUUUGAUGCCACAUCAUCUGCCAGGAAACCGACGCCAUGAGUAUUAACACUGAAUCAUAUCUAGUCUGCCCUAUCGACAAUCCGUUAUGUUGUAUCUGCUUUAUCUUCCAGAAUUCUUGAUUCACACACACUUCUCCCUCCAUUCAUCCACCUUAAUCGCUCCCAUUACAACAACUUUGACUUCCUCUUCAAGAAUACCUCCUACCACAUCGUUCACAAAAAAAAAACCAUACUUCGUUUUCAUCUUCGUCUCUUGGGGAUCGAUUAAAAUUCUUGGAUUCCUUUACAAAAUAAAGUCGAUGAUGUAAACAGUUCUUGGUCGUCGUCCAACAAAAUUGUAUUAGUUGUGAGGUAUGCAUGGGGAAUUACUUUUGUCAAAAUGAAAAUUAUGCCACAAUAAUGUAUAAGCAUUGACGUCAAACAAGCUUGGAUUUUGAGGUGUUUAUGCAUUUUGCCAAAUCGAACCUAGAGUAGGUAUCAUCAAACUAUAAGGAGGUCUUUGAUUGUUAGUUCUGUUUUGGCUUAUAAGCUUAAUUUUGGUUA